Molecule: long non-coding RNA, 5905 nt
Filed under: Homo sapiens (human)
Lineage: Eukaryota; Metazoa; Chordata; Mammalia; Primates; Hominidae
Description: HSALNT0333177
Source: RNAcentral
CCAAGAUAGAAACGUUUCUGGAGAAAAUAACAGAAGACAUGGCAGGAGAAAUGAUUGAGAGCUUUUCCAGUUUGGCAUGGAAACAAAGCAAAGCAAUUUCAGUGUGGUAACAAGACUAAGGAGGAGACAGAUGCUGUGCGGGCAACAGUACCAGAGCUAAGGGAUGAGAAACUUCUCCAUAAGAUGUCCCUUUAUUGCUCCAGCAGCUAUUAUGGGCUGCGUCUCCCCAAGCAUGGCAGCUCACCACUGUGGAACCCUAAAUAGAAUGACACUCAGUGUUGAAUGGCAAGGCCUCUGGUCAUAAAUAAGAUAAGCCGAAAGACAUUUGAUGGUUAUCACAGAAAUGGACUUUCCUUACUUGGAAUUUUCCUGCCUAAACAUCCACAGGGAAAAGCUACAUGUUGGGACUUCAUAAUUCAUUUCAAGCAUUUUGUUUGCAAAUCUCAAAGCUUGAUUUUUUUUCUAAGUUUGCAGGUACUUCAAUAUUUGUAUUUCCAUUUCAGAUUUUUAAAAUUCAUUGCUUUAAAGAACUACAUCUGAAGAACAAUGUUUAGCUCUUUAUUUAUUAUUGUAUUUUAUUUAUCUAAAGACCAAUAUGUUGCUUCCUACUGAUAACAUCAGAUGAAUAUUAUCGUGAAGUUAAAUUAGCUUCUUCAACAGUGAGCUCUGUGGAAUAGAUGCACCUUUCCUUCUAGUGUGACCAUUUGAGAUGGAACAGACCAGAGGAUUUUCCAUCCCAUUGCUAGAAUAUGUUUCUGUGACAAAGUUCUAGCAAGUUUUAGUCCGUAAUCCAUUUCAAGAGAAAUUCCCAUUUCUGUUUUUUUUUCAAUUAUGUCUUUUAACUUAUAUUUUCUGGAUCUUAUUCCAUUUGAGUGAAAUGUGAAUAGAUGAAGAGAUGUGGUAUCAGAGCUCAUUAAACAAAACUUUUCUGGUAACAUGUUUCAUCCUAUUUAGUUAUUUGAAUUCAGAUAAGCUUAAAGGAAAAGAACAAAACAAAGCUAUAAAGAAAAUUGGAAGUUAUUCAUUGUCAUUCAUCAUAAACAAGCUCAGAGGCUGGGAUAUUUGGCACGAUGACAAUGAAACUGCAGGAAAUUGAGCACACUCCAAUGUUGGUGAGGACGGUCCAUCCAUUCUGCAUAUGUCUGCGUCUUUGGGACUUAGAGUCUGGCAAGUAGAAGAGGGAUUUCAUCUUGUUGGAAAAUAUAAGUUGGAAAAUCAACCCACAUGAAAUUGCAGAAGCCAAGGGGUUUCACUGAUGGAAAAAUGGAGAAGGAAGAUCUGAUGAAACAGCAAGUCCUUAAGAGUGGGAGCCAGAAGUUUAAGUUGUAACAGGUUUUGGAUAAGAUUCAGAACUUAGAGGAUAACGAACUGCAGAAAAAUUCUUUGGAAGAUAAUGACUAGAGAAAAAUUCUGGGUCAAAGGCAGCUAUUGUGGUGCAUAGUUAUUCAGAUUUCAAAUUUGAAAAGAAAUCAUUGUUUCAUAGGCCGAAAGGAGCCCAAACGGUAGAGGGAGGAGAAUGUGAAUUCUGGAAUUAGGAAGACUUGAGCUUGAUUUCACCUUCUGCCAUUGAACAACUGCUGAGUAAUGGAGAAAGCUCACAAAAGAAGAGAAGGGACAUGCUUCACUCAGGAUGAUGGGCUGUCCUUUUUCCUUUGGAACCAGCAUAACCUUCACCAUGUAAAUAUGGAUUGCAAAGAAAUGGAAACGUGGUGCUGUUCACCUUACAGCCCCUGAUGAUUUCUUAUAGUGGGGGAGAGGGGGAUUGCACUUCAAGGUCAGAGUAGCUGAGCCACGUUAUUCCAGUGUAAGAAAAAAUGCUAACAUUGAAAUGAGCAAUUUUCCCCUGUAAAGAUUCUCUGCCUAGGGGAAUAGAAAGAUCAGAAAAGGGAGCUGGUGGAGGAAAGAACUAGAAUAAACAAAGCAAGCUCAGAACAAUUUAUUCCUAUGUUUGUUUACUGAAAUAGAACCAGGAAGGACCGAUGAAGGUCUGAAUUAAUGUAAUUUAUAAGAAGAGAGGCUCCCCUCCAAGGCAAUGAAGUGAUCUCUUUCCAAAUAUGUAACCAGGAGUGGCUCCCUAUAAACCCAAGGCAUGUCAGGGCAAAGAUGGUAUUCCAGAUCUUUACAGCCUCCCCACUUUUUGCCUCAGAGAGAGUUCCUAAUUCACCAUUUAGGGAUUCAGAAUUGUUAAUCAAACUUGCUCUGAUGAAAUUUUGAGGGUUGUUCUGUUUCUUGUCACAAGUUGAAUUGUUCAAAAGCACUGCAUCACAGAUCUGAUUUUCCGCAUUGCGCUAGCAUUUUCUUACCUUGGGGCAGGCAAAGGGCUAGUCAAACUUUAAAAUUGGAACUUCUUCCAUUUUUUUCCCUCAGAGCAUUUGAAGUUUUUUUGUUUUGUCUGUUUGCUUUGUGUCUGUUACAUUUCUCUAUUUUGCUUUUCAAGUGCAAAACUACUGUGCUGGAGAUGAUAGAGGGGAUACAUAAAGGGGGAAAAUACAUGCUCAAGGAAGUUCACAGAGUGGAUACUCUAUAUCCAAUAAUAACAGUGAGGAAAGAAAGAAUGCAGUUGAAGAUAUGAGGGGCAGAGUAAUACAGAGAUUUUCACAGAUUUAGAGGAUUGCUGCCCAAAUCCUUCUGUUUCUCUCUUUUUGUUCCUAGUGAGAGUUGUUAAAAUAGCUAACAUCAACAUGCCUAUUCUGCACAGAGGAAGGAUAUAUGAAGAAAGCAAGAAACCACUAGCCUAUGUGCAGGGUGAUAUGCCUUACAGCCAUGCUCAGUUACUAUUUUUGAUCGUGGGCCUAGAAAUAACCAUCUGGGCAAUCAGACUUUUGCAUUGACAUGCAAUGUUGGCUAAAUCCACAGGCAGCUGGCUGAGUACUAUUUAAACUCAGUGCUGAGAUGGGAGUAGGCCCUGACAGGCAGUAGUUAGGGGACACUCAUCUAUUCUACCCAUGUCAACAGUAAUGAUACUGUAAUUCUUUCCAAAAUGUGGUCCUUUUUGCUAUGUUUUGACAAGCUGGCUGUUAUUCUAACUUUCUGUAUUAUUGGAAACACACAGACUAGACAUUGAUACACAUAUAUGCAUAUGCAUGUGUUUAUAUGGCUGUAUACAGUUAUGGAAGAAUCCAUGAGAGUCAAUCAUCCAUAUUUAUUAAGUAUGUACACUAUGCAAAGCACUUUAUUGUGUGAUAUAGAAAAAUAUGGAAAAAUUGUAAGCACACUAAGUCCAGGAGAGGUUGAUUCACCUAUUUUCCAGAACCUCACUUUGUGUUUCUAUUAAGUGACGUAUAGGGAUCUGGUGGCAUCCAAUAUCAUUUCUAGGUCUUUAAUUCUAUGAUUCCAUCAUUUUGGAUGGAAAUUAAAUAUACUGUUAAAGACAUAUGGACUGGAUUCAUGGUUACAAGCAUAAGCUUUGGUGUCAGAUUCAUUUUAAAUACAAGUGCGGCUUCUGCCACUUUAAAGUUCUAUGACCCUGUGGCAUUUAUUAAAUUGGGCUUUAGUAUCCCCAACUAUAAAAUAGGAAAUUGUAAUUGUGAUCUAUCUCAUAGGGUUGUUUUAUAUAUUGAAUGUGAUAAAGCAUGUAAAGCAUUUUUCAGAAAUUGUGGUAAAGGACAAUUAUUACAAAAAUGUUAGCGCUUUUAUGCUAUCAUGAUGGUAGUUAUAGAAGCAUUGAAAACUGGGAAAAGUAAGUCAGCAGAACUCAAUAAACUUGAUUCCUUUGCACUGCCUUUUUUGUUGGAAAACUGUUGACUGGAUAGAUUUUUUUCCUCUCCUGGGGGAAAAGUGAAGUUGUGAAUUUCUUUGUACAUUUCAGAAGUAAAUGAGACGAUCUCAUGUAUAAAUCACUGAAUUCAUAUUAGUUCUAAUCAUUCCCACAAAUACAUCCAGGCUUUAUGUGAGGCAAAUACAUGCAUUUAUUGAAUCAGUUCAUUAGCAGUGAAGAUAUAUGUAUAUGUAUAUGUGUAUAAACACAUAAAAUCGUUUUGGCAUUUGUAUGUUCAUAGGAAAGAGCCAGGAACUAUGGAUAGAUUAGAAGUCAGAAAAUGCAGGUUUAAGCAGAGCUCUGAUACUAACUUGCAGUGUCAUUGUGGAUAAGUUACUUAAUCUUUCUAAUCUCAGUUUACUUCUUUGUGCAACUAGGGCUUUACCUAUUAACUGGUCUCAGCUCUAACACUGCUGUGAAGUCUCAUGACUCUUUGUCAACAAUAGCUCCAUGAAUGAUAACCUAAGAUAACUACAAUGAACUUCAUUCUUGUAUAGAUCAAUGUUUCUCAAAUUAGAAUGGGAAAUCUCAAGAGUCCAGACAAUUUCAGCUCAAUCAGCAAUCUCAAGACCUCCUGACCAAAAGUUGUCCUGUUCAUAUGGCCCUGUCUCCUCCACCCCCUGCAGCCAAAAAUCCAAUAGACAUUCACUGGGAGCCAGCUGUUGUCACGCACUGCACUUGACGGUAGAAAUUUAAGAUAUAAAAUACAUUUUCUAAUGAGGAAGACAUGUCAUAUUUACAUUGUCUUAAAUGCUAGGCAAGCACACAGAAAAACUACUAAAUAUUUCUGGUAAGGUCUGAUAAAUUGACACGCGGGUUUCUUUGGAGAUGCGCCUUAAAGGAUGUCAAAGAAUUGAUCUGGUGGAUAAAGUAAUGAGGAGACAGUGGAAGUUCUCAUGCAAAGGAAAAAAAACAAUUGUAAAGAUACAAAGGUGUGAGAAAUCUUGAUAUAGUCAGAGAAUAGAAAUUACUGUGGAUGUGAAAUAAAGAGCAUCGGUUAAGAGACCAGAUACCAAAGUCAAAUGGUCUAGGUUCAAAUACCAGCUCCAUCACUUAGGUGCACAUGCUGGGCUAAUUAUUUGACCUCUCUGCUUCAGUUUCUUCAUUUGCAGUAUGAGAAUGAUAAGGUAUUGUAAGGAUAUAUUUUUGAAACAUACUCAGUCAAUAUGAGCUAUUUUCUUGAGUAUCAAGUAGAGGGGGUUAGUGAGACAAUAGAGCGAGGAGACACUAAAGAGGUAGAUUGUAAUCUGAUGACAACCAGAGGCUGUCUUAUGCCUUGUCAAAAAAGGUCUCCUAGAUGUGCCGAUGGGGAUUUAUGCUGGAGAGUCCGGUGGCCAUAUUAAUGGCAUUGUGGCAGGAAGGAAAAGGGAAAAUUGGAAGAGUCUUUUCAUAAAAAAAUAAGAGUGGAGGAAUAGUCCAAAAUUUUGCCUUAGGUAACCAGAUGAAUUGCAACCAUUAACAUCUGAGGCAACAUCUGAAGAGGAAGUGCGUUAUUGGGAAAUAUGAUAAAUUUAAUUUCAUUGCAUUUACAGUGUCUGUGGGACAUCAGCUGGAGGUAUUCAAUGAAUGUCUGGAUAUAGAGCAAUGUCUCAGAAGAAAGUCUAGAAAUAGUGCUGUCCAAUAGAAACCUACUGUGACCCUCAAAUGCAAAUUAUUUAGUACAUUAAUUACGUUUUAUUUAACACAAUAUAUCUAAAAUGUUAUUUCAUCUUGUAAUCAAUACAAAGUUAUUAAGAUGUUUUCUUGCCAGAUCUUAAACUUGGUGUGUAAUUUUAUACUUAGCACAUCUCAAGCCAUAUGUCAGAUGCUCGGUAGCCGUAUGUGGCUUGGGGACUACCGUAUGGGACAGUGCGGUUCCAGAAUAUGGUAAUGGGGAGGAUUUAUACAUUUAGCAAUGGUCAGUUGAAAGACUGCAGACACUGUGCUAGGAGCAAGAAUUCAGUGAUGUGUAACACAGACACAUUUUCUCCUUCACUAAACUUUCAAGUUAUUAGGGAAUAGCAGUUCUGCUGGCCUUAAUGUUCUUUCUGUGCAAAUUAAAUAACAGUGAAGUCACUGGGCAGAGUUGUCCCAAACCAAGUAUCACAGAGCACACAUGAGAUUUCUGUGCCUCUUUUUUUGUUUGUUUGUUUGUUUGGAGAUGCAGUC